This is an RNA transcript of Vespa crabro (European hornet), 2756 nucleotides long. It is a transcript of the gene named glycylpeptide N-tetradecanoyltransferase 1, with no coding region annotated. Lineage: Eukaryota; Metazoa; Arthropoda; Insecta; Hymenoptera; Vespidae. The transcript is spliced from 9 exons. The record is from RefSeq and is a predicted model, not a curated record.
UUCGAAGUUUUAGAUUCAAGUCAUGUAGACGGCGCUAGUAAAGAUAGCGCGUGCGCAGCUACAAAAUCUAUAUUAAAAUGGAGGAUAAGAAUCAGGUCGUGGAGCGAGAGGCUAAGAAAGAUGAAAUUCAUGAAAAAGAUGGGCAUUCCAAAAGUUCUAAGAAAAGGAACCGUAAGAAAAAGAAACAACCAGUACAUUCCACGAGUGAAAAUCACAAUAAUGCAGGACACAGUGAAGAAAAAAAUCUUCACAGUGCUUGUAAUAUCUCCAUAAAGGAGAUACAAAUGGCUAUGGAAGUAUUUAAUAUGCAACAAAAGCCUGCCAAAACUCAAGAAGAAGCAAUGCAAAAGCCUUAUCAAUUUUGGAGUACCCAACCAGUACCUAAAAUGGAUGAAAAAAUUAUGUGCAAUGAACCAAUUGAACCUGAUAAAACUUCCAUAAGGGCAGAACCUUAUUCGUUGCCAGAAGGUUUUCAAUGGGAUACAUUAAACCUUGAUGAUCCUUUGGUAUUAGCAGAAUUAUAUUCUCUGCUAUCAGAAAACUAUGUAGAAGACGACGAUGCGAUGUUUAGAUUUGAUUAUCCACCUAUAUUUUUGAAAUGGGCAUUACAACCACCAGGAUGGUGUAAAGAAUGGCACUGCGGUGUUAGAGUUAGCAAAAGCGGACGUCUAGUCGGUUUUAUUUCCGCUAUUCCAGCUACUCUACGCAUUUAUAACCAUACUAAAAAGAUGGUUGAAAUAAAUUUCUUGUGCGUACAUAAGAAAUUAAGAUCCAAAAGGGUUGCUCCUGUUCUGAUACGAGAAAUUACAAGGAGAGUAAAUCUUCAAGGAAUAUUUCAGGCUGUGUAUACUGCUGGAGUUGUAUUACCAAAACCAGUUGCAACUUGCAGAUAUUGGCAUCGAUCGCUUAAUCCAAAGAAGCUUAUUGAAAUUAAAUUUUCUCAUCUCUCGCGUAACAUGACUAUGCAAAGAACAUUAAAACUGUAUAAACUGCCAGAGAACACCAAGGUGCCUGGAUUUAGGAAGCUUGUUUAUACAGAUAUUCCACAAGCUCACAAAAUUUUAAGUGAUUACUUAGAAAAAUUUGAUCUGGCACCGAUUUUUACAAUCGAGGAAUUUCAACAUUGGUUCCUUCCACAAAAUGGCAUGAUCAAUACUUUUGUAGUAGAAAAUGAUGGUAAAAUUACGGAUAUGGUUAGCUAUUACACAUUACCAAGUUCAAUAAUGCAUCAUCAAGCACAUAAGACUUUAAAAGCCGCAUAUAGUUUUUACAAUGUCUCCACCGUCACUCCAUGGCUCGAGCUUAUGACCGAUGCUCUUAUAUCAGCCCGUAACUUGGGCUUCGACGUAUUUAAUGCUCUGGACUUGAUGGAUAAUAAGGAGUUCUUGGAACCUUUAAAAUUUGGUAUUGGCGAUGGUAAUCUCCAAUAUUAUUUAUACAACUGGCGUUGUCCAAGUAUGACGCCUGGAAAAAUUGGUUUGGUGCUCCAGUAGACUUCUAGAUCAACAUGUUGUUGACUAGAAUAUAAAACGAUUGUAAGCUUGCGUGAGUGAAAGAAAAGAAUGCAAGAGUGUGAGUGACGAGAAAGAAAUAUGGCAAUAUGAGAUGCACACGUAAGAAUAUAAAACGAUGCAAAAAAAAAAAAAAAGAAAAUGAAGAGGAGUGCGGAACCUCUAAUAUUUCCGCGAUUACAAAGGAUAAUAAAAGAAAAAAGAAAAAAUAAAAAAAAGAAACAAAACAAAAAAAAAUAGCGAGCAAAUGAACGUUAAAAUAACAGCGGAAGAAGAGGGAGGAGGGUUGAAUAAAUACGUGUGAAAAAAUCUUUCGAUACUGUGAGUCGAUCUCUCAGUAAUUUCGAAUAUCAUUCUUUCCAACGUCCUUGAUACUCGGACAUGACGAGACAGGGACAUGGUCAAGAUCAGUACGGUGUAGAGAGAAUAUUGCAUGCGCCAACGCGAGUGUAUAUACGUAUAUUAUGUGCGUGAUUCGAGCAAUGUAGAUAAGUAUCGUAACUUUAGUAACUUGACCGACCCACGCAAAGGGUGAGAACAUAAACAACUAGGAUGCGAUCUAACUUCUUCGAGAGAACUAUGUUUCCUUUGCACCUUCUUGACAAGAUAGAUGAUAAUGCGUAUGUCAAGGCACACGCACACAAUCCCACCACAUCUCCCUCCCCUCCCCCCUCCAUAUACGCAGAAAACUGUAUAACUCACGGAUAUGCUCUCUCAACAGAGAAAAAGUUUUUCUUUGUAACUGCCGCUCUAGAUAAAAACGACCGUCUCGAAGAACUCCGACGGUCGACAUGCAAGGCCUUCUUCUCAAGAUAAAAGAGAAGAAACUAUGUUUCUGUCACAAUUAGCUGACUUAACAUUUGUAUUCUAUUUAGAUAGGAUGUUAGCAGGCACACAUCCUCCGAUAAGUUCGUAGGCAUAACAAACAUUAAUUUACACCGAUAAUAAUACACAUCCGUCAAUAAAUAUUUAUUAUUCAUACCGGCGACCGAUGAAAAAAAAAAAUAAAAUAAAAUAAAUAAAAUAAAAAAAAAAUAAAAAUUGUCUCAUCACAUCCAAAUUGUAUUUCUAUCUAAUCUGAUCGAUUAUUAAAUCGUAUAAAUAUCAAAUAUUAUCGAAUCAUUAGAAGAAUAUUUGAUGGGAUUAAUUCAAUUAGGAUUAUGUCAAACGCGUUAUUAUAAAAUGAUAAAACGUGCAACAAACGAUACGAAUGUUUUUUCACCUAAUAAAAUAUGAAGUCUAACA